Molecule: non-coding RNA, 71 nt
Organism: Bos taurus (domestic cattle)
Lineage: Eukaryota; Metazoa; Chordata; Mammalia; Artiodactyla; Bovidae
Source: Rfam
UCCCUGUAGUUUAAACGGUAAAGAAUCUGCCUGCAAUGCAGGAGACCAAGGUUCAAUCCCUGGGUCGGGAA